UCUGGUCCAAUUAGAGGAAGUAAAAGUCGUAACAAGGUCUCCGUUGGUGAACCAGCGGA
Molecule: ribosomal RNA, 59 nt
Filed under: Fusarium avenaceum
Lineage: Eukaryota; Fungi; Ascomycota; Sordariomycetes; Hypocreales; Nectriaceae
Description: partial 18S ribosomal RNA
Source: RNAcentral